UAAGGGGACACUUUUGGUGUCCACCAGACAUGAAUUUUGAAGCAUGAGCUAUUUAGCAUCUCAGGCUCAGGGUGCUUGUUUCUUUUGUCAAGCCUACGUGCUACAAGACCAAUUCAGCCGAUUGAUCUUUUAUUGAUGGGGCCAUCGAGCCAGCUGUCUCCAGCGACAUGCUGAGUGAACGAGUGACCAGAGCUAUUAACUCCACCAUCAGCCCUUUUUGUUUUAUCAUGUAAUGAGGGAUUCACAUGUGAAGGCCUGGGUGUAAGUGUGAUCAUCAAAGAUGUGUUAAAAGUUCUGAAAGGCCAUUUCGGAGAUCAGUUAUAAGGGUGUUCUGUGAGAGUUUACAAUGAAUGCCUUCUUUAAAGAUAGAAAAAAUCGGAUACCAUGACAUACAGAAAACACUGAUAUUGGGUUGGCUAAGAAGAAAUAUUCUUUAAGUAGUUAUUUUGGACACACACACAAAAAAAGACAGAACAAAAUGUAAUCUUAAUCAAAGCUUCAGUAGACCAGAAAAAUGUAGCCUCUGUGUGUGUGUGUGUGUGUGUGUGUGGGUGGGUGUGUGAGAGAGACAGUGUGAUAAAGUGUUAAACCUUUGGUCUGGCAUUAUCUCGAAAAAAAAAAAAGUUUCUGGAUGGGAGUCUCCAGUGUCAGCACUUUGUGUCAGUCAGUAAAUUUUCAGAAAUAGGAAAUGUCUUCACGGUGGAGGUUUCUUGGUAACUUGACAAUCUGUCUUAACUUCAAGAGGGGAAAAAAGGAGAUGCUGGUAUUUCCCUUUUAUCCCCAGAGUUCCCUGGAUAGGCUCUGGAUUUACUCCGACCCUGAUCAAGAUAAAACACUUAGCAACACAUACAGCUGUAUAAUCUCAAUAGUUUCCACCUAAACUACAAUAAACAGCCAAAAGUAUGCGGACACCUGACCAUCACACAUAAAUAUGGUUCUUCCCCAGACUGUUGCCACAAAGUUGGAAGCACACAAUCGUAUAAAAAGUUUUUGAAUGCUGUAGCAUUACAAUUUCCCUUCCCUGGAACUAAGAGGCCCAAACCUGUUCCAGCAUGACAAUGUGCACAAAGCAAGCUCUGUGAAGACUGGGUUUGCCAAGUUUGCCCUGACCUCAACCCUACUGAACACCUUUGGGAUGAAUUGGAAUGCAGACUGCUCACCAGACAUCACCUCCACACCCAACAUCAGUGCCUGACCUCACUAAUGCUAUUAUGGCUGAAUGAACACAAAGACACCGGAGAUGCCUUACAUAAAUGCUAAUAAAUAAAUAAAUAAAUAAAUAAAUACACACAGCAUCAACAACCUUAAUUUGUUUGAUUUAUUUUUAGUUUCUUUGCUAAUAGGUGUUACAAAUGUGUAUCAGUUUUAGGGUAGCAGUAGAAGGGCUAUUGAGAACAAUGGACCUGUAGUACAUUUUACUUUUGCAGUGACAAAUAUAAUGUAAUGUUUCCGUUCACUUUUAAAGUUUUCAUUUGACUCACCCUUGUAUGUUCUUUUUUUUUUUGUUAAAUAACAGCAAAUUGUCCUUUUAACUGUAGAUGUCCCUGUGAAUUUGCUAUUAGUGUAGUAAACAUGACAUCAAAUGAGCACAUUAAUACAAUAUGAUUUGUCUUGCAGAUUGCCAGCUGCCGACUGAGCUGCUGUUAUAUAAGUAAUAACACACGACAGAUCUUGCAGUUAGGCAAAGAUUACAAUGUGUAAUUUCUUAAUGCACAAUAUGUCAUGCAUUUUAAUGGUAUAUAGUUAUAUUUAAGGUUGUAGAACAUCCGAGAGACAACUGCGAUAAACAGUCAUUCCCUCACCAGUCUGUCUGUCUGUCUGUCUCUGUGUGUGUGUGGGUGGAUAUGUGUCACACAAUUGAUCAUACCUCAACAGCGAUUUAGUUGCAGUUUAUGCUCAUUUGACAAAUCUUAAAUAAAUCAUAGUAGAUGCAUAUAUAUAUAUAUAUAUAUAUAUAUAUAUAUAUAUAUAUAUA
Long non-coding RNA from Ictalurus punctatus (channel catfish), 1975 nucleotides. NCBI's taxonomy places the organism in Eukaryota, Metazoa, Chordata, Actinopteri, Siluriformes, Ictaluridae. The record is from Ensembl.